Molecule: ribosomal RNA, 467 nt
Filed under: uncultured bacterium
Lineage: Bacteria
Description: partial 16S ribosomal RNA
Rfam family: Bacterial small subunit ribosomal RNA
Source: RNAcentral
GACGAACGCUGGCGGCGUGCUUAACACAUGCAAGUCGAACGGAAAGGCCUCUUUCGGGGGGUACUCGAGUGGCGAACGGGUGAGUAACACGUGAGUAACCUGCCCUUGACUUUGGGAUAACUUCAUGAAACUGGGGCUAAUACCGGAUAGGAGCUCCUGCUGCAUGGUGGGGGUUGGAAAGUUUCGGCGGUUGGGGAUGGACUCGCGGCUUAUCAGCUUGUUGGUGGGGUAGUGGCUUACCAAGGCUUUGACGGGUAGCCGGCCUGAGAGGGUGACCGGCCACAUUGGGACUGAGAGACGGCCCAGACUCCUACGGGAGGCAGCAGUGGGGAAUAUUGCACAAUGGGUGGAAGCCUGAUGCAGCAACGCCGUGUGCGGGAUGACGGCCUUCGGGUUGUAAACCGAUUUCGCUCAUGACGAAGCUUUGUGUGACGGUAGUGGGUAAAGAAGCACCGGCUAACUACGUG